GUCACAGCAGGCCUGGAAUUCUGUGCCCUGAAGGGAUCUGUCACAGCUGGGUUAGCAAGGCUUCCCUAGUCUUGGAGGCUGUGAUCAAGCAAGAUGCCCCCUCUCUGGAGCAACCCAGCCCUCCCGGGACAAGAAAUGUGGCGACUCUGUCAGGAACGCUCAGGAUGUGGUCACUGCAGUCUCCACUCCACAG
This 193-nucleotide long non-coding RNA is filed under the name Mus spicilegus (steppe mouse). RNAcentral's name for it is "lncRNA (ENSMSIG00000007118.1)". Lineage: Eukaryota; Metazoa; Chordata; Mammalia; Rodentia; Muridae. The record is from RNAcentral.